UGUGACCCAGCACCCAGCAUGCGAAGAGUGUGGGUGGUGGCAUGCUACGGGAACAGCCAACGUGCCACGCAGCUCCAAGUCAGCACUGCUGUCUUGCUGAAGUCUCCAGAUUUCAGGACCAUCUCUCAAGUCUAAAAUUUCAUCAUGACAUUUAAAAUUUUUCACUCUGCUCAGAGACAAAGAGAGAUCCUAACAGGUGAAACACGUUAUGCUUCCAAGCAUCUCCCAGCACUUCCCAGUGCUAAGUUAUAGCUACAUCAGCUUUUUUGUUGUUGAGACAGGUGCUGUGCAGAUGGAGACUACUGGACAUCCUUUGUACCUUACAGUUUGUAUUCAACAGCAACAGGACAGAAGAAGGACAGGAAACCAGGAGAGGUUUGCCUUACUCUGUUGUUUUGUGGUUUUGUUUUUUGUUUGUUUGUUUUGUUUUGUUUUUCUUUCUUCUUUUUUUUCUUUUUUUCUAUUCUUUAUUAUUUUGUUAUCUUCCAGAAGUACCUUAAGUGCUGUGAUUAGUACUCUUUGUGUGCAGUUACCUAGCUUUCUUUUCAAAGAGAAGAAUUCACAAUGUUGCUGGUGUAGGGUUUUAAACACGAUCCCAUAUUGAUCCCUGCACUGUGUGCACGUGGCAGUGUUGGCAAGGUCAGAGGGCAGUUUUGGGCACAGGGAGGCUGAGG
This 674-nucleotide long non-coding RNA is filed under the name Anas platyrhynchos platyrhynchos (common mallard). RNAcentral describes it as "lncRNA (ENSAPLG00000026617.1)". Lineage: Eukaryota; Metazoa; Chordata; Aves; Anseriformes; Anatidae. The record is from RNAcentral.